ACGGACCAUUGAGUUCUAUAAUAACUGGAGCGGCUAUCUCUCAAAAGAUGAUUCAAGUUUGUUUUUGCGUUUGAAUUUCGUAUCAGAGUAAUCAUGUAGACGCAUUUACAUGAAUUUUGAAAAUUUUUGGCCAGAAGAAUCAUCGCAAAGGUGAUCCCACAGUUUUUGGGAACCUACCACCAAGUGAAGAAUGUGUUUGGGCGCUCUGUGACGCAAUAAAGUCAGGAAA
This is a long non-coding RNA of Xenia sp. Carnegie-2017, 229 nucleotides long. RefSeq lists it as uncharacterized. Lineage: Eukaryota; Metazoa; Cnidaria; Anthozoa; Malacalcyonacea; Xeniidae. The transcript has 2 exons. The record is from RefSeq and is a predicted model, not a curated record.